AGCAGUCGCCACGGUAAUACGAAGGGUGCAAGCGUUAAUCGGAAUUACUGGGCGUAAAGCGUGCGUAGGCGGUUUGUUAAGUCUGCUGUGAAAUCCCCGGGCUCAACCUGGGAAUGGCAGUGGAUACUGGCAAGCUAGAGUGUGUCAGAGGAUGGUGGAAUUCCCGGUGUAGCGGUGAAAUGCGUAGAGAUCGGGAGGAACAUCAGUGGCGAAGGCGGCCAUCUGGGACAACACUGACGCUGAGGCACGAAAGCGUGGGGAGCAAACAGGAUUAGAUACCCCAGUAGUCCCUGUCUCUUAUAC
RNAcentral lists this ribosomal RNA (303 nucleotides) under uncultured bacterium. RNAcentral's name for it is "partial 16S ribosomal RNA". It matches the Rfam family "Bacterial small subunit ribosomal RNA", at positions 507 to 807 of the family's 1533-position model. The record is from RNAcentral.